RNAcentral lists this ribosomal RNA (233 nucleotides) under uncultured bacterium. Its description in RNAcentral is "partial 16S ribosomal RNA". It matches the Rfam family "Bacterial small subunit ribosomal RNA", at positions 15 to 240 of the family's 1533-position model. The record is from RNAcentral.
GCUCAUGGCUCAGGAUGAACGCUAGCUACAGGCUUAACACAUGCAAGUCGAGGGGCAGCAUGAACUUAGCUUGCUAAGUUUGAUGGCUACCGGCGCACGGGUGAGUAACACGUAUCCAACCUGCCGAUGACUCGGGGAUAGCCUUUCGAAAGAAAGAUUAAUACCCGAUGGCAUAGUUCUUCCGCAUGGUAGAACUAUUAAAGAACUUCGGUCAUCGAUGGGGAUGCGUUCCA